UUGUGACCCUGUGCAGGGGUCAGAGAGCACACUGAGUCCUCAGGCUUUCUUGAAGAGGAUCAGGAGAUGAGGCGAGGCAAGCAGACAGACAGCAGACAGGUGCAAAAGACCAAACACAGACAGGAUUUUGUCAAGAAAAACAUUGAGCUUGCUGGUGGAGCAGGAGGCCUGAUGAUGACACAUAAGGAGAAAGAGCGCCUUGAGGAGAUCCUCAAUGAUGAGUCUUAUGAUGAUCCAUCAGCCAAACCUAAGCCUGGCGAAGGCUAUCAGCCGGACGAGGCCCAGCUCAACCAGUUGUUUCAGAUCGAUGCCAGGCUGCAGCUCCUGCUUCCUGUUGAGGACUUUCUGUUUGUGCAAAGCCCCUAUGCUGCCCACAGCUCCUCUCAGGGCGGGCACUUCGGUUCGGAUGGAGAGCGAGGUGGGGAGCUGAUGGCUGGGGGGAAGACCCCACAGGAGCUGACGGAGGCUAGAGAUAAAGGCGAGUGCCUGCAAGACAUCCAGCAGCAACUGCAGCACCUGGGGCACAGCCAGCAGGCCAUGGUGAGUUUAAAGGGGCUAGCAUU
Molecule: long non-coding RNA, 563 nt
Organism: Electrophorus electricus (electric eel)
Lineage: Eukaryota; Metazoa; Chordata; Actinopteri; Gymnotiformes; Gymnotidae
Source: Ensembl